GUUGUGUGUGUAGAAAUGAAGAAUCAGUUGUUCAUAUGGACUAUCUGAAACGAUUGUUGGAGUUUCGGGUAGAAAUGAAGCUUCAUCGUAACUGAAGAAGCGAUUCCACAACACAUUCAUACGCCAAACGCGACAUAACACAUUUCAUUUUUCAUCACAAACCCUAAUUCACAUCGAGAUCCGAACGAGUAUAGUAGAGUUUCGGAGAGAUCCGAAUCUUCAAUGGCACAUCGAAGAGUGAAAUUGCUGUUCCUUCUCUGCGCUCUUUGUUAUGCCCUUAAUUCCUUUGCCGCGUAAUUUUCAUGCUUUCGGUUUUUUCAUUUCCGUUUCUCUGUUUGCGAUUUCUUUGGAAAAUUCUGUAUUUGUUUGUUUGAUGUUUUCGUAUGCAGAAAGAGCUAUUACGAUAUACUGCAAGUGUCGAAGAGUGCGGGGAUGAUCAGAUUAAGAGAGCGUAUAGGAAACUGGCAUUGAAGUAUCAUCCUGAUAAGAAUCCGAGGAAUGAAGAAGCUAAUAAGAAAUUCGCGGAGAUUAACAAUGUGUGAUGGUUGCAGAGAAUCUAGAGGAACAUGUGGUACAAAUCAGAAUGAUUCUUCUCAUUUUUCUUGUAACUGUCCUUCUGGAAGUGGAACUCAUCAUGAUGCUGCAAAUUGUUCUUCUUAUCACAAGACGUUGAGUAUCAAACGAGCUUGGCAAAGGAAGUCGAAAGCCGCAAAAUACCUCUUGAAACAUCUUCAGAAAAAAUAUCAAUCAAGCAAGUCAGGCUGAACAGUUUGGCAGAAGGCAUGUUCUGAAUUCAAAUGCUUAGGGACCAAAUUAGGCCGAAGAUAAACUUGUAACAAGGUAGCGUCAUAAUCCACCCAGAGGCGACUCUUGUUUAUGGUCAUCCACCAACCAGAAACCAUAGUCGCGAAAUCUCUUUAUCUUCUUCUCAAAACCAACUAUAUAAUUGUUGUGAAUUAUGACAUGCUUUCCUUUAGUUUCCUUGACCCAUGUUUUGUUCUUGAAAUAUAAACCGCCUGUAGGAAAUGCUUCUUGAGGAAGCAGGUACAGAUCGGCCUGCAAUGAGGAAAAUCAUGAUGUCUUUAGGACAAUUGAAGCAGAACAUUUGCGAACAGAAGUGAACUAGAAGGAAGUGAGAAAACUGCAACAUACCUCUUUAGCAUUCUUCAUUAAAGCCCAGUUAAAAGCAGGUUGAUCAUUAGAUUUCUU
Vicia villosa (hairy vetch) is the source of this 1209-nucleotide long non-coding RNA. RefSeq lists it as uncharacterized. Lineage: Eukaryota; Viridiplantae; Streptophyta; Magnoliopsida; Fabales; Fabaceae. The transcript has 3 exons. The record is from RefSeq and is a predicted model, not a curated record.